This is a long non-coding RNA of Bactrocera tryoni, 570 nucleotides long. RefSeq lists it as uncharacterized. The record is from RefSeq and is a predicted model, not a curated record. Lineage: Eukaryota; Metazoa; Arthropoda; Insecta; Diptera; Tephritidae. The transcript has 3 exons.
CGUAUUUUUAGGUCACAAUAGAUGUGGAACUGUCAAAACUAUUGCAAAAUGUUCAAUAAAUUUAUUAGUUUAAAUAUCAAGUGGUUGAAUAUCAGGAUGGAUCCGACUUUGUUUUUUUUUUAUUUAAGCUCUAGUGAGAGUGAUGGGGAUGAAAAAUAGUGCGGAGGCAACUAAGAGAUCGGAACAAUCCCUUGGCACUGCCGAAUACAGCAUUUUUAAAACGAUUUCGUCUAACUAAAGAGGUUUUUGAAUAUGUCUUAAAUAAUAUAUGUUUAACGCAAUCUGGCGUCAGAGCAGUGCCUCCAGUGCUGUAAUUAGCAACCGCGCUCUCGCAUUUGGCUAGCGGUGGAUACCAGCACAGUGUAGGCAGUGACUAUAUGAUUGGGAUUUGUCAAAGCACUGUUCCCAAGCUGACAUCCCAUGUGCUUAAAGAAAUGGAAACAAAGUUGUGCCCACAGUUUAUACGGUUUACACCAGAGGACUCCCUUACGUGUAAAGAGUGGUUUGUGCACCAAUAUAAAAUUCUUGGAGUCGUUCGUGAGUUAUAGCGUCGCAUACAUGGAGCAAAAU